This 470-nucleotide ribosomal RNA is filed under the name Hampala dispar. RNAcentral describes it as "partial large subunit ribosomal RNA". It matches the Rfam family "Bacterial large subunit ribosomal RNA", at positions 1942 to 2564 of the family's 2925-position model. The record is from RNAcentral. Lineage: Eukaryota; Metazoa; Chordata; Actinopteri; Cypriniformes; Cyprinidae.
UUAACCGUGCAAAGGUAGCGUAAUCACUUGUCUUCUAAAUAGAGACCUGUAUGAAAGGCUAAACGAGGGCUUAACUGUCUCCCAUUUCAAGUCAGUGAAAUUAAUCUACCCGUGCAGAAGCGGGUAUUAACAUACAAGACGAGAAGACCCUUUGGAGCUUAAGGUAAAAAUUCAACCACGUCAAGCAACUCCAAACAAGUUUUUAAACUUUGUGGAAUAUGAAAUUAUACCUUCGGUUGGGGCGACCAUGGAGGAAAACAAAGCCUCCAAGUGGUAUAGGGUAAACCCCUUGAACCUAGAGAGACAUCUCCAAGCCACAGAACAUCUGACCAUAAAUGAUCCGGUCAACAUAGACCGAUAAACGAACUAAGUUACCCUAGGGAUAACAGCGCAAUCCUCUCCCAGAGUCCAUAUCGACGAGAGGGUUUACGACCUCGAUGUUGGAUCAGGACAUCCUAAUGGUGCAAUUU